RNAcentral lists this transfer RNA (70 nucleotides) under Dipodomys ordii (Ord's kangaroo rat). It matches the Rfam family "tRNA". From Rfam's summary of the family: Transfer RNA (tRNA) molecules are approximately 80 nucleotides in length. Their secondary structure includes four short double-helical elements and three loops (D, anti-codon, and T loops). Lineage: Eukaryota; Metazoa; Chordata; Mammalia; Rodentia; Heteromyidae. The record is from Rfam by way of RNAcentral.
GGGAAUGUGGCUCAGUGGUAGAGUACUUGUCUUGCAUGCAUGAAGCCCUGGGUUGAAAUCCUCAGUACCA